Mizuhopecten yessoensis (Yesso scallop) is the source of this 3877-nucleotide RNA transcript. It is a transcript of the gene named laccase-5-like, with no coding region annotated. The transcript has 6 exons. Lineage: Eukaryota; Metazoa; Mollusca; Bivalvia; Pectinida; Pectinidae. The record is from RefSeq and is a predicted model, not a curated record.
GGACUGUAACUUACACUCCCACAAGCCACUUGCAGUACACAUGUGACCCACGCUUCGUUUCACAUUCAGCACAUAUGCAUUGGAUUAUUUCGUAAGAGAAAUCUUAGUGGUAAGCGACAGUACCGAGCUGUACUGACUACUACGGAAGAUGGGAUUUAUCAUUUUCAUCAUUGCUGUCCUAUUGACAUUUGCCUUACCCAGCUCUGAAUAUGAGUGUGACAAGUCCGCCACGUUGUGUGAGACCACGCUGGUGAUCCAGCAUAGGCUAACCAUGAUGCACCCUACCGAACAACAAGUCUACCCAGCCAAUGGUAAACUCUACAAAUAUGACGACCUAACACAAACUACAGAAAUAUCAGCGGAUAAAGUGAUGACUGCUGAUGGUUGGGAGGAUAACAGACUGGUUGUUGUAGCAAACGAAAGUCUCCCAGGCCCUCCAAUUAUAGUGUAUGAGGGACAAAGACUUAAAGUUCACGUCAUCAACAAAAUGACGUCGGAUACUGUGACUGUACACUGGCACGGUAUUCCUCAAAGACGAAGCCCUUGGAUGGAUGGUGUUCCUUUUGUGACACAAUGCCCAAUCUUGUCUGGACAGACGUUCACAUAUGACUUCAUUGCUGAACCUAAAGGAACGUACUGGUACCAUUCCCAUGUCGGUGAUCAGCGAGCAAAAGGGAUGAAUGGUGCAUUCAUCAUUAGAGAGAGAACAUCAACAAUCAGGGAACAGAUUAUGACGGUACAAGACUGGAACCAUAACUGGGGAGCCGAUAUGGAUCAUCAGAAAUUGCUGCUUGGAACUUUUGUGAAUCGUGUACCAGAACCACUGAGGCAAUCUGUAGACGGGGGUCUUUUUGACCCAUUCUAUGUAACUUCCGUUCUUAUCAAUGGUAGAAGCCGUUACUACAACAAGUCCGGUCAACAUAAUGGUGCUCCUUUGUCAGUUUUCCCUGUGGAAAAAGGAAUGGACUACAGGUUUAGGGUUAUCAACGUCGGAGCUCUAUAUCCCAUUAGAAUAUCAAUUGACAAUCAUGCCAUUACUCUUGUCGCUUCAGACGGAUACGAUUUCCAACCAGUAGAGGUAGAAUCUUUCAUCAUCAACCCAGGUGAAAGAUACGAUUUUAUCAUCAAUGCCAAUCAAGUCAUUGGAAACUACUGGAUAAGAGCUGAAACCCUAGAAGUAAGUGCACAUAAAUCUGAGGCUGUGCUCCGCUACAAUGGUGCAGAUGUGUCUCAAUACCCUUUAACGACUAGGAAAAUAUGCACUCCUGUUGAGAGAUGUUUAGUUGUCAACUGUCCUUUCACAACCUUCCCUGCUGACUAUUAUACCGACUGUCUACGUUUUGAUCAUCUUCGGUCAGCUGUCAACAACGACCCUGCGCCCAAACCGACAUCUAUGGACACAUUCAAAGAACACUAUUUAAACUUUGCUCUUCCUGAUGAAGUUGCGUCAGUUAAUGGAAGAGAGUUUAUGGAUCCCACAGUGUCUGCACUAACACAGCCAUUAGAGAUAACGUCCAUAUGUGACAAUGUAGACUGCGGGGAGGAAAAAACAUGCAAAUGUACACAUUCACUUCCCACUACCCAUAACGAUGUAGUGCAACUUGUACUGAUGAAUAUGGGGGUAGGAACAGGUGACGCCCAUCCAGUUCACCUCCAUGGUUAUUCAUUUUACGUGCUGAAAAUGGGAUAUGCUACUUAUAAUAUGACUACCUCAAAGUUCAUAUCUCAAAACAAUGACAUCGAUUGUCGCGGAAGUGGGGACAUGACAACAAGUUUAUGUAACGACGCUUCAUGGAGAAAUUCUAGUUGGCUUGGAAAUAACGUCCCUGGAUUGAAUCUUAUCGAUCCUCCGCGGAAGGAUACACUGAUUAUACCUAGCGGUGGCUACGCUGUUAUCAGGAUCAAGGCUGAUAACCCAGGUGUAUGGCUAUUUCAUUGUCACAUCCAAGUGCACGGAAUCUUCGGAAUGAGAAUGGUCAUCAAUAGCUCAUACAGCAUGCAUCCAGAACCUCCCAAAUCAUUUCCUGUGUGCCAUGACUAUCCUUCUUACUUUCGUGAGGGCUAUGUUGACCAGCAUCAGAGUGGUGUCCGGGAUCAGAAAAGUGGUUAUGGAAUGAAGACUUUCUGGAUUAUGUUCACAGUGAUGGGUAUUAUCAUCCUACUUUUGAUCGCCUAUAUUCUGUACGUACGGAAGAAAGCCUAGCUUUUUAAGAAGAAGUUGGCAUCAUCUUCAGAACCAACAAAACGCGGAAGGAAAAUCCGGUCUUUUCAAACAUUUGACACUCUUUGCAAUUACUUUCAAAUAAAUAAAGUUGGUACAAAUAAUCUUGGUUGAUGAAUAAAAAUGAAACGCAAAAAAUAGAUAUAGAAGGCACAAGUUUACAAUGCACUAUUUUUUGCUGCCUCUCUGUGACCGUGCAAACAACGAAUAUUAUCACAAUGCAACAAUUUUACACUGUACUGUUUAAAGAAUAGCCGACGAUGUGUUUGUAUUUUUUUAGAAUAUUUAACGAGGGUGAGAAAAUGCUGGUAACAUAAUCAACAAGGACAGAUUUGAAUCUGGGGUAAUAUAUAUAAAAUUGAUAUUCCAAUAUAUGCUGACUUAAUCUAUUUGACAACACAAAAGAGCAAGUAAAAUUAUCUUUCGUGUCUAUUUUAGUGCAUUUAAGAAAACAUUAUCUAGAUAAUCAAUAUAUUUCAAUUAGGCUGUUCUGCUGCAGGGGCAAACUUUUAUCACAUUAGGCAUCGCAAUUUAAUGACAUCAGACACACCUUGUCGUUUCAGAUGAUUGCAAUCUUGGAUCGUGUAUAUAAGGUCACAGGGGUCAAAUGUGUCAAACACUUCAAACAACUCCCUCUUCAGAACUAAAAGAACUGAUGAGGAAGUCCUGGGCAAAAGAGGUUUUGUGUUGUGAAAAAAAUGAAGAGAGAGGCUCCCCUGGGGGAAAAGAGCGCGAAGCUCACUAAAGAAAACAUCGAAAUGAUGACCAAGGUCAAUGCUUGUAAGAUUGCCAUGGCUUGUGAGGUCGUCAGAAAUACCAGAAUGCCAGAUGAAAGAGUUGUCAUGGAUACAAAGAUGACAGAUUAAAUCUUGUAAAGUUUCCAUGAAUACAAAGAUGACAGAUAAAAGCGCGACUCGUCGGUGAUGCUAGAGAAAGAGAAGAGACUCAUAACCUAGACUCAUUUAAAUCCCACCUAUGUCAACCGAAUGCCAAGUAUUCCUGUACUACAAUCUUAUAUCAGUCAUUAUAUGCCUAUGGUCGAACACUAGGGUAGUUUUUGUUUAUCGCGAUCCAAACGGUUGGACCAGAUUCGUUCGUUUAUGAAAUAAGGUCGGGCCUAGUAUUCUGAAACUGUUUCCAGGCGAGCAUUGUCAAAGCCUUGCAACGUCUGCAUACAGUUUUGCAGGUCCGCCAGGAAUUAUACUCGAAAAUGUUACGUUUACCCUUUUGUUUCGCAUAAACGAACAGGCCCGUGUAUAUAAUACGUUAUUCAAGUUACAUUAAAAUUGCUUAUUCAUAUAACGCUGUCCAAAUACAUGUUCUGCAUGUUACAUACUUGAAUGCGGAAGAAAACUAGUGCCACUGAAAUAAAGUUUGAUGACGUAGCUAUGUCGUUAUUAUCAGUGUUAACUUGUAAUAACGCGACAUAGCAGUCUUGGUAUUAUUCAGAUGUUACGUCUUUAGUAAAUUACGACAUGAAAAGUCAUUUGUUUUCUUUCGCAAUACUGGUCAGCUGACGCAAAAGAAACACGACUCCUACAUAUAUUUAGGUUAAAAUGUUAUAUAAAAUAUUUAAUAAAGACUUCAAUUUUAUCUCCAUCGUUUUUCUGUCCUUCGUACACUUUCAAUUAUAUUUCUAUCGCUCAUGCCUUCAGC